Pantherophis guttatus is the source of this 762-nucleotide long non-coding RNA. RefSeq lists it as uncharacterized. The record is from RefSeq and is a predicted model, not a curated record. Lineage: Eukaryota; Metazoa; Chordata; Lepidosauria; Squamata; Colubridae.
GGUUUAGUCUCCAGACUUAUCAUUUUUGUUGAUCUUCUCUGCACUUUUUCAAUCUUAUUUUACAGAUCUCAAGAAAUGUGCUUCUUGUACUGAUGUAUCUGAUUGUAGAACCUAUCUCUCCUUCCCAAGAAUCAGAUCAUGACCCUGUCAGUUUUUAGAAAGGCCCUGAAAUCCCAUCUCCUUCAAAUUAUUGCUAACGAAGACCACUUAAAGAUUUUUGAAGUACAAAUGUCUGAGGUGAAGCUUAGUUUUCUUUCCUUUUUUGAGUCAGAAAAAUAUGAAAAGACAGAUUAUUUGAACUGUGGAUAUCUAUUCAGUCUUCAUCCUACAAAAGAUUGGUGUGGUAGAGAAAGCAAAGAACAGAGUUUCAAACUAUCAAAAGACUAGCCUGUCUACUAUGUGCUCAAUGAUUUCUGAUAGGUAAAAACCAGCAAUGGCUGACAACUAUGGCCACAAUUACCAGCAAUUUUGUCACAAAAGAAGAAUAAUACAACAAGCAGUGCUCUUCACCCCUUGUGAUAGCAGUAUUGCAACAAGGCUCCAAAUAAUCAGAAGAGUGGAGGAAACAAAUACAGACAUUCAUUGAAUAAUCCACAGUUCUCUGAACUGUGCGAGAGAAUGGAAAGACUCAGAAAGAAUAUCAUUCAUACAAUGAAAUUGCAUGCAAGUCAGCGUUGCACAACUGGAUGGAUUUUAUUUGUGGUUUUUUUUUAACUGUGUAUAUAUAUGUGUGAGAAAGGAAUUAAAAUAUCAUUUGUGCCA